RNAcentral lists this non-coding RNA (174 nucleotides) under Clostridium sp. RNAcentral describes it as "Lysine sequence". It matches the Rfam family "Lysine riboswitch aptamer". From Rfam's summary of the family: Riboswitches are metabolite binding domains within certain messenger RNAs that serve as precision sensors for their corresponding targets. Allosteric rearrangement of mRNA structure is mediated by ligand binding, and this results in modulation of gene expression. This family includes riboswitches that sense lysine in a number of genes involved in lysine metabolism, including lysC. RNAcentral also lists the same sequence under 1 other name. Lineage: Bacteria; Bacillati; Bacillota; Clostridia; Eubacteriales; Clostridiaceae. The record is from RNAcentral.
CGAGUAGAUAGAGGUGGGCCUGACAAGAGUAAAUAAGAUGAGGUAUAAGAGAUAUCGUUGAUUCUUAUUGAAAGGGGAUGGCCCCGAAGGGUGAAUUUUCUCUUAAAUUCAUACCUGGUUUACGUAUUAACAGUACGUGGACUGUCACCUAUUUGGUGGAGAGCUAUCGUUUUG